AACCAUUCUCACCUGCGGCUAGACCUGCGGAAGGAUCAUUAUUGAAUAAAUCUGACAUGGUUGUAGCUGGCUCUUCGGAGCAUGUGCACACCUGUCACCUUUAUCUUUCCACCUGUGAACCCUUUGUAGUCCCAGGAUAACCUCUCGCGCACUCUGGUGUUGCGGAUGCGAAGGUUGUUGUGCCUCUGGCCAGCUCCCAUCGAAUUUCCUGGGUCUAUGUUUCUUAUACACCCCUGUAUG
RNAcentral lists this unclassified non-coding RNA (240 nucleotides) under soil metagenome. RNAcentral's name for it is "partial contains 5.8S ribosomal RNA, internal transcribed spacer 2, and large subunit ribosomal RNA". The record is from RNAcentral.